AGAGUUUGAUCCUGGCUCAGGAUGAACGCUAGCGGCAGGCUUAACACAUGCAAGUCGAGGGGUAUAGUUCUUCGGAACUAGAGACCGGCGCACGGGUGCGUAACGCGUAUGCAAUCUACCUUUUACAGAGGGAUAGCCCAGAGAAAUUUGGAUUAAUACCUCAUAGUAUAUAGCCCUGGCAUCAGGAUUAUAUUAAAGUCACAACGGUAAAAGAUGAGCAUGCGUCCCAUUAGCUAGUUGGUAAGGUAACGGCUUACCAAGGCUACGAUGGGUAGGGGUCCUGAGAGGGAGAUCCCCCACACUGGUACUGAGACACGGACCAGACUCCUACGGGAGGCAGCAGUGAGGAAUAUUGGACAAUGGGCGCAAGCCUGAUCCAGCCAUGCCGCGUGCAGGAUGACGGUCCUAUGGAUUGUAAACUGCUUUUAUACGAGAAGAAACACUCCUUCGUGAAGGAGCUUGACGGUAUCGUAAGAAUAAGGAUCGGCUAACUCCGUGCCAGCAGCCGCGGUAAUACGGAGGAUCCAAGCGUUAUCCGGAAUCAUUGGGUUUAAAGGGUCCGUAGGCGGUUUAAUAAGUCAGUGGUGAAAGCCCAUCGCUCAACGGUGGAACGGCCAUUGAUACUGUUAGACUUGAAUUAUUAGGAAGUAACUAGAAUAUGUAGUGUAGCGGUGAAAUGCUUAGAGAUUACAUGGAAUACCAAUUGCGAAGGCAGGUUACUACUAAUUGAUUGACGCUGAUGGACGAAAGCGUGGGUAGCGAGCAGGAUUAGAUACCCUAGUAGUCC
This 787-nucleotide ribosomal RNA is filed under the name uncultured bacterium. RNAcentral describes it as "bacterial SSU rRNA". It matches the Rfam family "Bacterial small subunit ribosomal RNA", at positions 8 to 796 of the family's 1533-position model. The record is from RNAcentral.